AAAAAGGGUGCUUGCUACUACAUAGCACAUUUAUGUUUAUACAUACGUGGGGUAUGGCAAUCAAGACAUACCCAGCACGUAAUUUUUGUUAACGGGAAGCUGUUUCUAGCCAUUGAGCAGAGGCGCCUCC
RNAcentral lists this small nuclear RNA (130 nucleotides) under Oryctes borbonicus. RNAcentral describes it as "U11 spliceosomal RNA". It matches the Rfam family "U11 spliceosomal RNA". Lineage: Eukaryota; Metazoa; Arthropoda; Insecta; Coleoptera; Scarabaeidae. The record is from Rfam by way of RNAcentral.